CAAAAACAUCUCUCUUAGUUUUACCGUUAAGAGUAGUCCCUGCCUUGUGAUUGAGUUUUAGCGGCGGCGUUAAGUUUUAAAGUAGCGUAAUAAAUUGUCCUUUAAUUGGGGUCUAGUAUGAAUGGGUUGACGUGGGAAUUCUGUCUCUAUAGAAUUAUUUGAAUUUUUCUUCUAAGUGAAAAGCCUUAGAUAAUGUUAAAAGACGAGAAGACCCCGUCGAGCUUGAUUAUCCUGCAAAGUUUUAUUUGUAGGUGAAGUUUUGUUGGGGCAACAGGGGAGAAAGGAAACCUCUCAAUUAUUAUUCGUAGAUCCCCUUUUUGGGAGAAAAGGAAAAAGCUACCGCGGGGAUAACAGCGCAAAGCUGUCAGAUAGGCCAUAUUGAAGACAGUAAAUGCGACCUCGAUGUUGGAUUAGGGUUUCUACCGUGCGCAGAAGUUAGGUAAAGUGGGACUGUUCGUCCUUUAAACCCCUACAUGAUCUGAG
This 483-nucleotide ribosomal RNA is filed under the name Acrosterigma biradiatum. RNAcentral's name for it is "partial 16S ribosomal RNA". It matches the Rfam family "Bacterial large subunit ribosomal RNA", at positions 1808 to 2609 of the family's 2925-position model. The record is from RNAcentral. Lineage: Eukaryota; Metazoa; Mollusca; Bivalvia; Cardiida; Cardiidae.